UAUUAGCCCUGGGGCUGCGCAGCUGCAGGUGAGUAAUCAGAUUUCUGCGGCGUCCUGUUUUCUCCGCUGCCUGGCGGUUCCUCGACACCCACUCACCUGCCACCAGCCACUGGAGGGAGGGCAGGCAGAAGGGAGGAUGGGCGUGGGGACCGCCUGGGUCCUUCGCCCACGCCCACGCCAGCACACCCGCGGAGAACGGUGCACCUGCUGAGCUCGCUGCGGGACGCUCCGCUUUCACUGCGGCUAUAGGGAGGGGCCGCCCACUCGCAGGCGGCUCCUCCCUGGUCCCGAGCCCGAGCCGAGGAUCGCAAGGUGGAUCCAGAGGCCUGCCGGUUACGAGCCAAGCUGGGAGGCCGAGGAUGUGGCUCAGAAUGCUUGCUGAGCAUGCACACAAAAUUCCAGGCUGUAGGGCUCCUGCAGCAAUAAACAAAAAACAAAAACAAAUAAAGCCGGUUAAGAGAAGGCUGGCAGAACUCUUCGUGGAACCCAAGGCGAUCUGAACCAAGGAGGUGAUACAGAGGAGUGAGGAAAGACAAAUGCACCAGCACAAGAACCUUCUGGAACAGAGCAGUGAACAGGAGAAUCCUGGGAGCAACACAAGGUCAAAGUAUAGGAGAGGGGCAGGCACAGCGGGAGAGGGGCGGGCACAGUGGGAGAGGGGCGGGCACAGUGGGAGAGGGGGCGGGGACAACACUGACUGGUUUGUUGAACCUGGAACUGAAUAAGGAGAGAUGGCGUUUGAAACCUCCAUUACUGCCACUAAAGUAACUGCCGGUGUCAGACAGCAGAGCUGCACAGAGGAGAGCGAGGAACUAUUAAUCAAUCAUCUUGGUUUUGCCAGAAACUUGCUUCAAACUAGUUUAGAAAAAAUAAAAGGAAGUUAAAAGU
Rattus norvegicus (Norway rat) is the source of this 888-nucleotide non-coding RNA. NCBI's taxonomy places the organism in Eukaryota, Metazoa, Chordata, Mammalia, Rodentia, Muridae. The record is from RefSeq and is a predicted model, not a curated record.